Molecule: ribosomal RNA, 319 nt
Filed under: uncultured Rhodocyclaceae bacterium
Lineage: Bacteria; Pseudomonadati; Pseudomonadota; Betaproteobacteria; Rhodocyclales; Rhodocyclaceae
Description: bacterial SSU rRNA
Rfam family: Bacterial small subunit ribosomal RNA
Source: RNAcentral
UGUCGUGAGAUGUUGGGUUAAGUCCCGCAACGAGCGCAACCCUUGUCAUUAGUUGCCAUCAUUUGGUUGGGCACUCUAAUGAGACUGCCGGUGGACAAACCGGAGGAAGGUGGGGAUGACGUCAAGUCCUCAUGGCCCUUAUGGGUAGGGCUUCACACGUCAUACAAUGGUCGGUACAGAGGGUUGCCAACCCGCGAGGGGGAGCUAAUCCCACAAAGCCGAUCGUAGUCCGGAUCGCAGUCUGCAACUCGACUGCGUGAAGUCGGAAUCGCUAGUAAUCGUGGAUCAGCAUGUCACGGUGAAUACGUUCCCGGGUCUU